RNAcentral lists this ribosomal RNA (441 nucleotides) under uncultured bacterium. RNAcentral describes it as "partial 16S ribosomal RNA". It matches the Rfam family "Bacterial small subunit ribosomal RNA", at positions 338 to 795 of the family's 1533-position model. The record is from RNAcentral.
CCUACGGGAGGCAGCAGUGGGGAAUAUUGCACAAUGGGCGAAACCCUGAUGCAGCGACGCCGCGUGAGUGAAGAAGUAUUUCGGUAUGUUAAGCUCUAUCAGCAGGGAAGUAGAAAGACGGUACUUGACUAAUAAGCCUCGGCUAACUACGUGCCAGCAGCCGCGCUAAUACGUAGGGGGCAAGCGUUAUCCGGAUUUACUGGGUGUAAAGGGAGCGUAGACGGUUGUGCAAGUCUGAAGUGAAAGCCCAGGGCUCAACCCUGGGACUGCUUUGGAAACUGUGGAGCUAGAGUGCGGGAGAGGUAGGUGGAAUGCCUAGUGUAGCGGUGAAAUGCAUAGAUAUUAGGCAGAACACCGAUGGCGAAGGCAGCUUACUGGACAGUAACUGACGUUGAGGCACGAAAGCGUGGGGAGCAAACAGGAUUAGAUACCCUUGUAGUC